This 459-nucleotide ribosomal RNA is filed under the name uncultured bacterium. RNAcentral describes it as "bacterial SSU rRNA". It matches the Rfam family "Bacterial small subunit ribosomal RNA", at positions 335 to 780 of the family's 1533-position model. The record is from RNAcentral.
ACUCCUACGGGAGGCAGCAGUAGGGAAUCUUCCACAAUGGGCGCAAGCCUGAUGGAGCAACACCGCGUGAGUGAAGAAGGGUUUCGGCUCGUAAAGCUCUGUUGUUAAAGAAGAACACGUAUGAGAGUAACUGUUCAUACGUUGACGGUAUUUAACCAGAAAGUCACGGCUAACUACGUGCCAGCAGCCGCGGUAAUACGUAGGUGGCAAGCGUUAUCCGGAUUUAGUUGGGCGUAAAGAGAGUGCAGGCGGUUUUCUAAGUCUGAUGUGAAAGCCUUCGGCUUAACCGGAGAAGUGCAUCGGAAACUGGAUAACUUGAGUGCAGAAGUAGGGUAAGUGGAACUCCAUGUGUAGCGGUGGAAUGCGUAGAUAUAUGGAAGAACACCGAGUGGCGAAGGCGGCGUACCUGGUCUGCAACGUGACGCUGAGACUCGAAAGCAUGGGUAGCGAACAGGAUUA